UAAGGUAUAGCUCAGUGGUAAAGUGCACGCUUAGUAUGCCCGAGGUCCUGGGUUCAACCCCCAGUACCUCCA
This 72-nucleotide transfer RNA is filed under the name Camelus bactrianus (Bactrian camel). It matches the Rfam family "tRNA". Rfam says of the family: Transfer RNA (tRNA) molecules are approximately 80 nucleotides in length. Their secondary structure includes four short double-helical elements and three loops (D, anti-codon, and T loops). The record is from Rfam by way of RNAcentral. Lineage: Eukaryota; Metazoa; Chordata; Mammalia; Artiodactyla; Camelidae. RNAcentral also lists the same sequence under 2 other names.